Molecule: ribosomal RNA, 119 nt
Filed under: Pteropus alecto (black flying fox)
Lineage: Eukaryota; Metazoa; Chordata; Mammalia; Chiroptera; Pteropodidae
Source: RNAcentral
GUCUAUUGCCAUGCCACCCUGAACGUGCCCAAUCUCAUCUGAUCUCGGAAGCUAAGCAGGGUCGGGCCUGGUUAGUACUUGGAUGAGAGACCAUUUAGGAAUACCAGGUGCUGUAGGCA